Molecule: long non-coding RNA, 1177 nt
Filed under: Mytilus galloprovincialis (Mediterranean mussel)
Lineage: Eukaryota; Metazoa; Mollusca; Bivalvia; Mytilida; Mytilidae
Source: RNAcentral
UGGUCAAGGUAGUUUUUGAUGAAGUUGAAGUCCAAUCAACUUGAAACUUAGUAUACAUCUGCCCUAUGAUAUGAUCUUUCUAAUUUAAAUGCCAAAUUAGAGUUUUGACCCCAAUUUUACGGUUCACUGAACAUAGAAAAUGAUAGUGCAAUUUCAGGUUAAAGUUUUUUCAACGGUAGUUUUUGAUAAAGUAGAAGUCCAAUCAACUUGAAACUUAGUAUACAUGUUCCCUUUGAUAAGAUCAUUCUAAUUUUAAUGCCAAAUUAGAGAAUUUAUUCCAAUUUCACAGUCCUUUAAACAUAGAAAAUGAUAGUGUGAGUGGGGCAUCCGUGUACUGUGGACACAUUCUUGUUUCACCUGCUUUGAUUUAUUUUGUAAUUGAUCGCCAAACCCGGAAUUAUCCUUAUCCGCUUCCGGAAUCGGAUCCGAUAUUGUAAAAUUUUGUCUUCACGGCCGCCAUUGUUAAGUGUUUACAAUGUUGUUUUUGUCAAUCAGAUACGAUUUUACUCGAAUUUAUACAAUAUUUGUCGGCGAUUUUCUGUAUAAAGCUAGCGGUUGAACAAAAUGAACAUCGCUGUCAUGAAUAAUAAUGAUAAAAAUAAGUUUUUAGCUCGUUUAAUUGGAGACUUUGGUGACUUGCAUGGAAGGUUUGCAAAGUAAUUUCUUAUUUUCUUUCAAGUGGAAGGUAACUACGUCGGGCGUAGCUAGAAAACCAACUAUCCUAGUCGAAAUUCCGCUUGCAAAAGUGGAAGGUCGCGGACCUCGGACCACCGCUAAUUUGCACACCUGCCUCCAAAUUGAAAAGCUACGAAAAUUUCUUUUUUCUAAUUUGAAAUUGCCGCCAACAGCAUGAACAGUUGAACUUAUUAUAUAAUAGACUACUGACGUAAUUGUACUACGUAUUGAUGACAAACAAUAUCCCUACGACUUUUGCCAUUUGGGAAAUCUAAACUACUUGUCUUAAGAGAUUUUCGGCGAUUAAAUAUUUCAUACAAUUGUUCCUUGACAUCUUAGCUAAAAGCACAAGUCAUAAUGAACUACACAAGGAUUCUUAAUAAGCACUACUUCCUAUGUGUAACUUCAAAACUUUUGGAUAAAUCGACGAUCAUUUAAGGUUUUUCUGGUCAUAUUUUUUGUAAUCCAGAAUAAAAAGUAUUAAAAAAGUGUUCAAUUAGUU